RNAcentral lists this unclassified non-coding RNA (327 nucleotides) under soil metagenome. RNAcentral's name for it is "partial contains 5.8S ribosomal RNA, internal transcribed spacer 2, and large subunit ribosomal RNA". The stretch from base 1 to 120 matches the Rfam family "5.8S ribosomal RNA", at positions 35 to 154 of the family's 154-position model. The record is from RNAcentral.
GAUGAAGAACGUAGCGAAAUGCGAUAAGUAAUGCGAAUUGCAGAAUUCAGUGAGUCAUCGAAUCUUUGAACGCACAUUGCGCCCUGUGGUAUUCCGGGGGGCAUGCCUGUUCGAGCGUCAUUAUAACCCCUCAAGCUCAGCUUGGUGUUGGGGCCUGCCGACUGGCAGCCCUUAAAAUCAGUGGCGGCGCCAUCUGGCUCUAAGCGUAGUAAUUUCUCUCGCUAUAGAGUCCCGGUGGAUGCUUGCCAGCAACCCCCAACUUUCUAUGGUUGACCUCGGAUCAGGUAGGGAUACCCGCUGAACUUAAGCAUAUCAAUAAGCGGAGGA